Molecule: non-coding RNA, 11864 nt
Organism: Anas platyrhynchos (mallard)
Lineage: Eukaryota; Metazoa; Chordata; Aves; Anseriformes; Anatidae
Source: RefSeq, a predicted model, not a curated record
UGCUGCAAUGGGGCUCUUUUCCAGCUCAAUUAUAGUCCUGUCCUGUCCUGUCCCGUCCCAUCCCAUCCUGUCCCCACGGAGGUGCAGGGUGCUGCAGCUGCCCAGGCCUGGCCAUGGAGAGCCCCCACUGCUGCUUGCGUGCAGUUUAUGCAGGAAGAAGCACUCCCAGGAGAUUCCUGCAGAUAAGCAACAGGAAUGAUGGUGCCUCUUUAUUGCUGUGUGGAAUUGUGGCGUUUUCCAUGUGCUUCAAGGUUUCAGAUAACGAAUCUGGAGGCUGCUUGUGCUGCAUGCACUGCCUGACGUGGGACACCUCCAAGGGGAACCUCUUAGAAGGUACUUUUUCUAUAUGCUGAGCACAGCCCAGAUUCUAGCAAGACGAGGGGAAGGAUCUGUCUGAUGGUUCUUAGAGAUUCUGCUGUCACAUGCUUUUCAGCUUUCACACAGGCUUGAUCCUAAAGUACCAUUGACUUCAGUUAAGGAACAGCAAUUCUCAUGGUAUCUCAGCCUUCAGACUCCUGGUCCCAGCUGGUGUGACCCCACAGCAUCUGUGGGGAAAUGGAGAUGAUGACGAGAGACAUUGCAGCUGCUUGAGGGGGGGAAAAAGCUGGCUCUUGCUCAUCUCAAAGGCCAGUACCACUUGGAACCCUUUGUAUGGGCUCUCAGUGCACGUGCCUCUGUCCAUCAUCAGCUGCUGGCCUGGGCACUCUUCUGUGAGGCAGUAAAUGUGGACUUCUCAUUCCGAAUAAAAGAGGCAUGGCUUCUUCCAGUGGCAGAAGACUGCUUAAAUAAGGCUGUUGCUUCCUUCCAAGUUCUCUGAAACAACUGGUGUUGGCACCCAAGGACACGGUGAGGAAUUGCAAGAUUCCGGUUUAAAUAUCUCCACUGAAUUUAUCUGCAUUUCCAAAAACCUGUCUGCCUGAGAAUUGUGCUGAAUCCUUGGCUACAGUUGUGGCUUUUUCCAUACAGAUUGGCACAGGAGUUUUCCUAUACUAUACACCCAUAACAGUCUGUAUUCCACUGAAUAGUCUGGAAGCACUUAAGUUUACAAGUGAAUGUCCAAUGGUAGCUUGUGGACUAGUAGUCUUUGACAUGACUGUUUUUGGAAGAAUCAAUUUUGCAAUCCUUAGACAUAAAGAUCUAUGGAUAAGAAACAAGGAGAAGUUUAUGUGAAGAGGUGCUGUUUUACAUGGAGAGGCUGAAAGGCUUGCCAUGGGAGUGAGAGAAAAAUUUCUGCGCAGGCUACACCUGAACAGAGGAUGCCCUACCUCCUUCCGAAGACUUCAUGAUACAGCUCUAGCAGAGCCAGCUGCCUUCUGCUGCGAAGCAGAUGAUGUCCAUCAUGCUUAACACAAUUGCUUUGGAGAAACACAGGGAUCCUUGGUGCCCACAACAUAACUGUUAGGCCACAGAAGAUAGAUCUGAUGUAUAUCUUGUGGUGACAAGACACACAAGAAGAAUUGAUGUAGAGCACGCAACUUUGCCAAGACAGAGAAAACUGGUGGAAAGCAACUAUUCACGUACAACAGAGGGACUUGGUACUUUCUCAGAAAGGUCUUUACGAGCACCCUUCUUUUUCAGCUGGCUGGCAUGGGGCCAUGAUCACCAUAUCCAGUAAGACGCAAUACAGUGGAAACAAUGACACUGAUGGAAACUGAUGGAGCCAGUGUCAGAAAAACAAAACAACCAAAACCCACACAAGCUGACUGCAGGAGGACACCCAGCAAAUUAACAGGUGGAUUGUGAAAAAUCCCAUUUCCAAAGGGCAAAGUCAAUAAAGAGAGGAAGAAAAGAGAGAAGAAAAGAAAAAAAAAAAGACAAACCAAGACUCGUAUUUCUUUCUUAUAAAACUAACAAAGAGAUACUAAGGGGAUAUUUAAAAUUGUGUAGAUGUGGACUGAGGAAGCGGGAGUUUUAACCAGAAUAGUUGACAUUCAAUAUUCAUGUUUGUGUCUUGUUAUUAAGCAUCCUUUAUCUUGUUCAUACUUUUAGUCUUUUUCUUAACUUCCAACAUAAACAUGUUCCAGAAUACUGCGAAAAAAAUGCCAUCCUCAGGAGCACUAGUAUUUCAAGACAUAUUUUGUUGUGGACAUUUCAUUGCAGAAGACAAGACCUUUUCUUACUUUCCUCAAGGGCCUUUGUAAAUAUGUCUGCUUUCAUGUGCAUAAAGUGCACUUAUAUAUUAUCUCCCAGAUCUCUGAGAUUUAAAAAAUAAAAAAUGUUUUGAGAAUCAGCUAUACGCAAACACUUCCAUAUAUUUUGUCCCCUCUGAAGUGAGCAUUUGUAUGUAUCAUAGAUUGGUUGCUUUUCCCUGUCAUUGAAUGAUAUGUCAUAGGUAAGAGAUUUGUGACAGUGCUUAAGGCAGAACUGUGAUAAGUAACGCAGUGCCAAGACUUCAGUAUUAGCACAGUCAACAAACUCCUCCAAGUAAAUGAUAACAUUUACAUAUUUUGCCACCUGCUUGACAUCAUGUUUCCAUUUGUACUGACUCCAGAAUCAGACUAUAUCUAAACCCAGUCAGAAAGACUUGAUUAUUCUGAUGGUUUUGAGCAGUCUGGGAAGUCCUUGAGCAGCAGAUCUUGGAAGCUGGGAGUUUGGUGUGGCUAAUAUGUUCUUAUUGUUCUGUUAUAUCUUCUGUAGUCAUCUAACUGUGGACCACUAUUGUAUGUAGAAUACACAUUGGAAAGACGGACCUUUGGCCUUCUCCAGAAUGGCCAUUCCUAUUGUUUUAUGAAAAAAAACACCUACAAAUAAAACCCAAUCAGUCAUCCAAAGUCAUCAAUAACAAGAAACAAUCUUGUUAGCAAAAUGAUCCUAAAAGAAAACAAACAAAUAAUAAUAAUAAUAAUAAUAAAAAUAAAAACAACUGAAAAUCAAGAAAAAGAAAAAAAGUUUCUGUCAAAGUGACUUGGCUCAGUUUUCCUUAGUUCUUGGCUAGAACAUUUCCAUUGAUAGAGUUGCUAAGUGCAUUCUAUUUACAAAUAUAAACACUUGAUUUUGAUCAGCAAAAAUGCAUCAGCACACUUGAACAGUGUCAAUGAUGACAUAAUUACACUCACAAUUUCCUCUCUGUAAUGAUUUUUAAAUGUCAGCAGUCAUUUUUUGUCUAAUUGUAGCCUUCAUGUCAGCACUUCCUCUUAAAACAGCAUGUUUCUCUCUGCUGGAAUUUCACACCUCUCCACGCUCUCACUCACUUCACCAGUGAAGAUAAUGAAGAUGAUAUAGGGCUUCAGGAUAUUUUCACUCCUGUGCUGCUUUGCCAUUUAACAUCAAGCAGGCAGAAUAAAGUUUCUUUUGUUGUAGCGUGUGUGUUUUGUUGUUUUGUUUUGUUUCUUAUAGUGCAGAGUUUGAUCAUUUAGGCUGUAAAUAAUUAUUUGAUUUGAAUGAACAAAUCAAGUCUUCAUUUCAAUGGCCCCUGCUGGUGCUGUGCUAAUAACCUGUUUAAAAGCAUGGGCUUGUGAUAAAAACAUUCUCAUGCAUCUGUGUUGUAACCUUAUUCACUGGAGGAGAAGGCUUAUCCUGCAAUGCCAGACAGUUUCUUGAUCAGUUCCAUGUUUGAUGUGGUGGGAAGCCAGAUGAUGCUUUCUCUGCAAAGGCAGCAUGUUUAGCGAUGUUACUGCUAGUGUCUCAUGCGAUGGCCCGGGAAGAGACUUAUGAAAUGCUAUUUUGCAUGGUGCUAGGCCUCCAGAGCCCACAGCAUAACAAAUAGGUGCAUCUGGAGUUCAUCUCAGUGCCCUCUUUCUCUUUCCAUAGAUCACAGACUGCAUCGUCAGGUUUAUGGAAGUGUAUCACUUGUGCAGUGAACUGGAAGACCUGCAUUGAGACCUGCCAGCCUCAAACAACACCCUCUUUCUUCGCAUUAGAAAUGGAAACACGUCCUCUGCAGGAAUUUUCCACUUAAUAGCUCCUGCUUUCCUACCGGGGGCCUCAGUGCACCACCACUGCAAUGCUGUAUUUCUUUCCACUGCAGUUUGACAUUUUGCAGCCAGAACAACGAGCGGCAUUCACUCCAUCCUGAGUUUUGAAAAACAUAUCUCUAUAGGCACACAGAGAGCACCCAGCGCAGUAAUCACUGGGGGAAAAUGGCAAAGACACUAGGAAAAACAUGUUUGUGGUAAUAUCAAGAUUCCCAGAAUAGAUUGUACAGUUUUUCAGUUGAAAUUGCAAAGUAUUAGACAAAUAGCCCUGUCUUUUCUUUCCACCCAUCACCUCGGCUUCACUGAAAUAUUUCCUGGAGGGCUCCAGAGUUUCUGCUGAGUUGAAGGCACCUCAUCCAUCCCACUUCUGUUUCAGUGUUUUGAGAGCAACACAUCACCACGGCACCAGGCAGAGAUGUCAGGAGUCUCUGUCACACUUGUUUAAGACAGUCAGAAGAAACAGGCAUAAAAGGACCAGGCAAUCUGGAAGGAGACCUAAUGGGAACACAGAAGGGUGAAGGUCAUACUUAUCUUCGUGAAUCUAUAGGGGUUUACACCACAGAGCUCAGCUUGCCGACAAACAGGCCAUUGCCGGAGCACUCCGGCUGUGAACACGAAGAGGAAGAACAUGCCAGCUGAGCGGAUUUGCAUACAUGUAUAUGGUUCUAGAAGGACUGAAAAAUGCAUGUCAAGGAGAGUACCCACAGAGGAGACGCACCACUAUUCCAACAGAAGAUUACAGACUUAGGUUCACAUGGCAUGCCCAGCAGCCCUUCCCUGCUAUGGAGGUAUGUAUGUAGUCUGGCUAGAAAUAUCACACCACUUCUUCCAUGACACAAAUGAUAGCUGCAUUCAACAUCUCUCUCUGUGCCUCAGAAAAGUUCCUCUGGAACACAACUCCUACUGAACACCUUAAGACACUCCAAGAUGAGCUUCUUUGUAUUUACAGGUUAUUAAAAUAAAUGCCAGAAGAAUCAAAUAAUGUAUGCUUCCCAAGGGAGGUUUCUGUUCAUUUUCUUUUCAACAUUGCCUGCUUUCCAAAUCUAACACUACGGUAUCACCACUUGAAGUCUGACCAAGUCUUUUUCAAACCAAAGCCUGCUUCCUACUUCUCUGCUUUCAGCCUCUGAGCUAUUAAUCAGCCUUCAUCUCACUGCUUUUCUUCCUUUGGCCUUUAAUGGUAACUGGGGUGGCUAACCCAAAGACAAAUGGUGUUUUAGCUGUGUUGUGAGGUCCAAAACUGGACUCACCCGGCCACUUCUCUACAAAACUUUACCCACAAUGAAAAACACUGAGGAUGUUCUCAUUUCAAGUGACUGUCAACCAGCAACAACCAUGACCUACAAAAAGUUCUAGGGGUACUCAUUGCUUUAAACAAGCUUGGCAGACUGAUGCAGAAAAGACAUUAUUUUGAGCUCGUCUAACCAUGAGGAUUGCAUCAAUAAGCACAAGGACAUGGACAUUGGCUCACUUUGCUGCUGGCUGAAAGGGCAAAUUAUGAACAAAAUUGUUUCAUAUGGAGCUCCCUUUUCCCAGUGUCUUACCUCAGCACAUAGAGUUUCAGGGCAGGCUGAUAAACCUUCCCAUGGGCAAAGUGUGGGCCCAGCUAGCAGAGCAGUGCCUGCCCUGACCUCUGCCAAGUGCUCUGAGCCCUCAGGGUGAGCAGCCAAGGCACAGGGCAAGCUCACAGCCAUGGGCCACAUGCCGAAAGGGGACCCAGAGUCCUUGGGGUGGGCGCCUGCCUGCCUUGCUCUACCUACUACAUGUGCCCGAGUCGAGUAUAUGGGCAGGCAGGUGCCUCAGCAUUUCCUUUAUUAAAAAUCAGAACCUAGGUCAAAAUGCUAUUUUGUCAGUAGGAAGUAUUCAGCUCUGUUCUUACCAUUAAUUACUGAUAUUCCUAAGGGCGUUAUCUAGCGGGCCAGAGGGGACUCAUAAUGAAUACAUGGCUAUCCUAGUACAUCUGUCAUUAUUGGCAUAAGCAUAACCUAUUUUCAUUGCUUUGUGGGUACUGUGUAUAGUUUUUAUUUAUUGUUAAGGCUUGUGCUUUCUGUAGAGAUGAGGGUAGGUAAGUUUGCCAUAGGAAGGAAUAACCUCUGUAUGGUGAACAAUUCCUCAUCCAUCUCCUGGCUUUCCAUUGCUUGAUCUCACAACCUGUCCACCAUCUUAGAUGCCUUGACAUCUACCAAAGAGAUCAUUACAGCAAAGACGGUAUGAUCUUAAAAAAAAGAGUAGCAGAUGGCAGCAUUGCUAGGGAUGAGUGUUUCUUGAGUACUCCUGGGUACUCCAGGAGGGCAAAUCUUGGAAUACACUUCUUACCUUGAGAGCUCAGCCUCCUUCUCCAGCAGCCAUCAGUGGUGGUGGUCUUGCAGCUCAUGAUGGAGAACAAUACGGAGGCAUCUUCCCUGGUAGAGCUCUCCCUGAAUCAGAUCACAUCUGGUGUCAGAGCCAACCACCAUGGACUUAGGUUUCUAUCUAAAAACUCUGCAUUUUAUCUGCUUAUUAAUAGACAACAAAACCUUAACCCUCAGCAUGGUGUUUCAUGUUUUUUGUUUGUUUGUUUGCUUGUUUCCUUCAUUCCCGGUACAGAUUAAAACAGGCUUUUAACAUUCCUAAAAUACAGGCUGUCUUACCAGGCCCUCCAUCCCUGGAGGACGAGCUGUCUUUGGGAGAUCACCUGCCUUUCAGCUUGAGUUAGUCCCUGCCCUGGCUGUGCAGGGCAGGCAGCUUGGAGGCAGCGCUAAUGAGCCAAACAGCAGCUGAGAGCAGGGGGCAGCUUGGCAAGUGGCAUGUGGCCAACAAGACGGGAUUGAAGAGAGAGGAGGAAGGGACUGUGGCUCUGUGUAGCAGUGCAGAUAACAUAUGCUCAGAGCCAGCCCUGGAUGGCACAAAACGUCUAGACUAAGACAGUUCUUAGAUCUUUUAUUGCAGCCAAUAUUCUGUAAUAUUUCCACACCAGACAAAUCUUGUUUUCCAGCAGCUCUAUUUGAAGGAAACCCUGUCCUGAUCAUCCUAUAUCAGGCACAAGAUGAUGGCCUCAAAGUAGGAUAAGCAUCAACACAAACUAUCUUCACCCUAAUCUUGACACAGUGAAGAACCAUUAGUGUUGGGAGUGACACAGCAAAGGACAUGAGAUUGGUUAGUAUCUCUUGGGAGUGGGGAUCUACGAGUACUACUGCCUUUCUACCUGCCUUCAGGCAUGUAGGAGUGCAAAGACUUCAGUAAAAUUUUUGUUAUUCCUGUAGACACCAGAAGAGAGCUGUACACUCAAAUCAUCAUGAAGAAAUUCACACUUGCUUAUGCCAUAUUUGUACUUGAUAAGACUGCUCAGAGAUGAUACCUUUUCUUUCUUAAGAGUUUGCUUGCAUAAAACUAAUUCAGGGUUGUACUUUGGGAAGAUGGUGCAAAGUAGUAGAUUUUUUCUUUCUAUUUCAUUGAUAUUUCUGUUAUUUGGACAAUGCUGAAAACAUGCUAGGUGUUUGUUGUUCAAGCAUGCCCAGAUUAAAAACAACAAUAAAUAAAUAAAAAACGGUAUAUUGAGUCAUUUACAGAGAACAGGUCGGUGCAGACUUUCUGCUGGGGUAAUCACAUGGGGAGAAAGGAUUAAUGUCUCUGCAUUAUUAAGCUUUGGUGCGCUUGUCAUAACCUUCUACCAGCUUUUGCAUUUGCUGACUAAAACCUGGCUACCAGAUGGCAUUAUUUGGCUUUGCCUAUGCUUCUGAGACACCCUAGCAUCAUCCUGUAUUGUAUCCAGAACCCCUUGGUGUGUUGUUAUACAGUAAGAAGAGUGAGUCUGGCACCUUUCAUUAGCAAACCAUGCAAUAAAUAGCAUGAGAUCCACAGGAACAAGCUGAUGCUGUUUAGAUGCUCAUUUAAGUCUAGCAUUUUUCUGACCAAUCUUCUCUGGAUUUUAAUUUAUACAAUUAUUUCAUAUGUCUAUUUUAGUUUCUGAUUAUUUUUUUUUUUCUUUUUACCUUCCUGCACCAGGAAAAGCAGGCAUAAAAGCUUCAAUCAUCUAAUUUCUCUCCCAUUAGUUUUCUGUUUUUGUAAUUCUAAUGCCAGUAUUGAUUGAAGUUAACCCCUAAAUUUGCUGGUAUAAAUUGAAAGUAAACUGGCCCUGAUAUAUAUCCCAGCAUCUUCCAGGUAUUUAUUUCCUGCAAUGUUUUUUGGUCCUCUGCCUCACUCCAGUGAUACCUGUCAAUAUUUUUUGGCCUUUUCCACACAUUAUACAAAAAUGUUCAGCAAAACUAAUUUUUGAAAACAGAAUUUUCCUCUUAUUAAGACUUCAUGAAGCAAAUCAUGAGGUUGAGAAGUCGUGGUAUUUCAUAAUCAGUUAAGCAAUCAUCCCUGCGUACUACUGAUAGCGACAUUUUCGUUCUAUUUAUAUUCUUCCUAUGUUCUCUAUUCUGCUAAGUCUGAGGCAACCCUUUAUAGCACUGACUGCUGUUGUGAGCUCUGCCUUCCAUCUCCCAGCUAGCCGAAGUACCCAUGGCAGUCUACACAGUUGCUUUUAGCAGUUCUGGACAACAAUCACACCUAUGAAAAGCUCCAGAACAUCUUUCAAAACUGGAGGCUAGCAAGCCCUUAGCCAUGAGGUUUCAUUACUGAAGACUGGAAUAAAAAUCUGUUGGUGCAAAAAGUUUAGCCCUUCAGCCUCAGUUCUGUUGAGGAAACCACUGCAGGGCCUGCAAGGUAUCUGACUCAGUGCAAAAGUGCCCGACGGACACCUUUGGACCUGGUGUUCACCAUGGGCUCGGACCAGGCAAUGAACCCUGAGCUGCUCCUGGCUGUGGCCCUGCUGCCUGGCCCUGGGCUGCUGCCUCUCCAGCUCUUCUCACAGAGGUCGCUCCUUUGGAGCCAGACCAGGACUUUUGCAAAUAUUGGCUGUUCUGACAAAGUGUGUGCAUGGGGCAUGGGCUGUGCAUUAAGAAAAUCCCUCAGCAGGAUCUGUUUAUGGGUAUUUCAUGACUGCUUGUUAUUACCUAAUAUUAAUGGUGUAAAAAUAAAAUGAAUGGUUGUUUGCCUGUGUAUGUGAGGGAAAACCUUGACAUCUUGCUGCCAUGGGUUGUGCUGCCUCUUGCAGUAAACCUCUUCAGACAGGGUUUGGUGCAAACUACAGAGCCUGUGCACUUCCACACACAUUUGCCUCCAGGCUCAAUUCUGCUUUCUGUAGCUAAAGCUCAAGGUCCUGGUUACAAAAUUUUGAGGCUCCACAGUUGGCAGUUCCAGGGAGCUGCCAUUUGGCACCUCCUCCCAGUAAUGUCGUUUGCUCUGUCAGGCUUGCAAGGUCCUGCAGUUAAAAUGCACACAGACAUCCCAAGAUGAGGCAGGGAACACAAUGAGUAUCUAUGGCCAUUGUAUUUUCAUAAAGCAAUUUUUUGCUCAUUUAGGUAAAUAAUGUACCUAAGCAACAUAAAUCUCUGCAGUUGUUCAUAUGAAGCCAUAUUUGUCACCUACUUUUGAAUUCUUCUAGUGAUAUUAGAGAAAUCCAGCCACAUGAAGAGCAGGAAUAAACUCAUUGAGUUGGUCACAUGUUCUCAGUAUCUCUGUAGGACUGGGUUCUGCUACAAAGACACAGUCUGUGCUUGAACAUUUGCUUUUUUUUUUCUCUCUUUAUAGACCAAGGUGGAGCACAUGACAAAAGUAUAUACACUCCUGAAAUAUUCCACAGGACAGAGCCAUUUCUUGUGAGGAGGAGACACAGAUGUUGUCUUCUUUCUUUCUCUGUUAACAGUUAAUUCAGCGCUGCCUUCUUUCUCUCUUCCCAGUGAAUGUAUAAAAAAUUGUCCAUCUGUUGCACUUCCUCGGUAAUUUAGACCAACUUCUUACUGACACAAUGUAGGAAUAGCCCAAUGAUAAAUAAGAUAUGUGUUGAUGCAUAAGAGGCUUCCUGCAGCUUUCAUUUGUUAUUGUCUAUGCAAGUCUGCAGUUAGAGCACCAACAGCUGCAGGUAGAUUUGUUUCAUCUCUUGUCCUGCUUGCAGGGCAGUGUUUUAGGCAGCAACAGAGCUGGUGGGAAGCUGAAAACCACAGCUGAAACCAACAGACACAUUCGUUGCUGCUGAAGAACCUGUGCUAGAGAAAUGGCUCCUUGGUUGCAUUACUCUCUGUGUAGCAGAGGACAGGUUUGCAUUUGUUUACAGAACUUACACAUUUGCAGAGCUAGUAUCAAUAAAUAAAUCCGCUGUGUAGGAUCUUUCAGGAAACCAUCACAGAGUAGCCUUAGCUGUAUUCUCUGAAAUCAACCAGUUUAGCAGUGACCUGAUGAGACACUGUUGCCACAAGCAGGGAGAAAUCUGUGUGGUCAGGCCCUGGGCUGGACCCGUAUGUGCUGCAGACGUGGGUGCAGCAGCCCUUGCUCUUUGCCCCUCUUUAGAAGCCUCUGUGGGGCCUUUGAGUCCUGUUACGUUAAUGCCAGUGGUAGCGUCUCAUGGUGCUGUCUUUGCAACACAGCUCUCUUUAGCAAUGCAAAAGCCUGCUUUGCUGAAAACACACACACAAACCCCUCAUUUGGAGCUGCAUAGGAGGGCUGAGAAAAUCUUCUCUUGGUGAACAUUGAGGGGGGUUACCAUUGACAUUAGUGGGGCCACCUUCCCACCCCUUGUUCAAGCAAGACUGAAAACACUGUGGUCGGCUGACUGGAGGAAAUUGUGCAAGAAUUACAACCACCAGGAUAGAAACACAGUAGGCUGUGAUGUAAAUCUUGGGUGUAACAGGGGAUCAAUGAGUGUCAAUGCAGUUUUAUGAGCAUACAUUUAUUUAUUGAUGCCAUCACUUCGAGGCAGAGCUUACACGUCCUAGGGAAGUGCUGCAAAGCUCCCACACCUCAUUAUAUAGAUGCAUGUAAAUCUGCCACGUGUCGUAAAUGAACUCAGAAAGAUUUAUUUUGGAUGUUGCCUUUCUAAGCUCUUCUAAUGUUAGCUCUAAGCAAACAUGCAAACAAAGCCUCACAACCACACGUGGAGAAACAAGAUGUUAGAGGCAUUUCAACCACCUGUCCGAGGGAGCUGCUUUGGGCUGCGAGGUGUGCCAGCAAUGGAAAGGUCGGAAUGAAGAUGCUGGCAAAUGGAAAGGCAGGGUCGUGUCUUAGUACAGCUGUGCUGCUGUGCUGCCCUUUUGGUUCCCCUGUCUGUCUGAGUCCUGGGACUGCUGCUUGGCCAGCGAGUGGUGGACAGCAGCAGCACAGCCCCCCUGCAAGCUGACUUGUGUACGAGGGCUUGAUCAGGCAUUUGUGCUGCUGCUGAAAAGGAACAAGCAAGGUGUUCUCAGCUCCUACAGCAGAAGACAUGGGGACAGAGACAGCUGGAGCAGGCCACCUCCUCCAACAACUCUGGUGACAUCCCGAAGCCAGCAGCACUCGGAUCCCACACUGCUGCCAGGGAGUGCACAGCCCCUGUGCAGAACCAGGAGUGUGCACAAGCAACACAGCUGGGCGCAUGGCCUGGAGAGCUCACCCUCAGGCACCAAAUACGAGAGAAACCCCAGAAUUUUCCAAAUUUUGAGAUACUUCUAAUCCUGUUUCUAAUCUGGAGAGGAGUUAUACUUUCUAGCAUAGGCCAGGGUGAGUGAACAGGCUAACACUUUCCUAAUUAGCAUCUAGGGAAAGGCUCUUCUUGGAGACUCCUGGACUGCCGUAAGUGGCAAGAUGAUGAAAAAAUCCAUGGCACAGUGACUUUGUAGUAAACCGAAUUAAUAAAUCAGAGAGAGAGAUCACACUUGUCAGAUGCAUCAGUAAAUAUCAAUGUCCUUCCCCAUAACCAGGCCCGCCCCGGUGUUGAAACAAGAAAUGGGCAGAAAUUGCUGAGUGUAUUUCCAUGGAUUAGUCUGCAUUGCCAAAGCAUAAUGACUUCUGAAGAAGUACAGAUUCAACAACUUUUAAAUGUGAAUAUUCCUGCGGUCCAGAUCACUUACAAUCAGAGAAAGAAAAGGGAAAAACAGUGAAUCAAAAAAUGUA